RNAcentral lists this ribosomal RNA (403 nucleotides) under Verrucomicrobiota bacterium. RNAcentral describes it as "Verrucomicrobia bacterium partial 16S ribosomal RNA". It matches the Rfam family "Bacterial small subunit ribosomal RNA", at positions 355 to 776 of the family's 1533-position model. The record is from RNAcentral. Lineage: Bacteria; Pseudomonadati; Verrucomicrobiota.
UGGGGAAUAUUGCACAAUGGGGGAAACCCUGAUGCAGCGACGCCGCGUGAGCGAAGAAGGUUUUCGAAUCGUAAAGCUCUGUCCUAUGAGAAGAUAAUGACGGUAUCAUAGGAGGAAGCCCCGGCUAAAUACGUGCCAGCAGCCGCGGUAAUACGUAUGGGGCGAGCGUUGUCCGGAAUCAUUGGGCGUAAAGGGUACGUAGGCGGAUAAGCAAGUUAGAAGUGAAAUCCUAUAGCUCAACUAUAGUAAGCUUUUAAAACUGCUCAUCUUGAGGUAUGGAAGGGAAAGUGGAAUUCCUAGUGUAGCGGUGAAAUGCGCAGAUAUUAGGAGGAAUACCGGUGGCGAAGGCGACUUUCUGGCCAUAUACUGACGCUGAGGUACGAAAGCGUGGGUAGCAAACAGG